UUCGUAGGUGGCCAACUAAGUCAGACGUGAAAUCCCUCAGCUUAACUGGGGAACUGCGUCUGAGACUGGAUGGCUUGAGUGCAGGAGAGGAACGCGGAAUUCCAGGUGUAGCGGUGAAAUGCGUAGAUAUCUGGAGGAACACCGGUGGCGAAGGCGGCGUUCUGGACUGCAACUGACACUGGGGAAGAAAGCCAGGGGGAGACAAACG
RNAcentral lists this ribosomal RNA (208 nucleotides) under uncultured bacterium. Its description in RNAcentral is "partial 16S ribosomal RNA". It matches the Rfam family "Bacterial small subunit ribosomal RNA", at positions 568 to 775 of the family's 1533-position model. The record is from RNAcentral.